AGUGAACGCUGGCGGUAGGCCUAACACAUGCAAGUCGAACGGCAGCACAGUAAGAGCUUGCUCUUACGGGUGGCGAGUGGCGGACGGGUGAGGAAUACAUCGGAAUCUACUUUUUCGUGGGGGAUAACGUAGGGAAACUUACGCUAAUACCGCAUACGACCUACGGGUGAAAGCAGGGGAUCUUCGGACCUUGCGCGAUUGGAUGAGCCGAUGUCGGAUUAGCUAGUUGGCGGGGUAAAGGCCCACCAAGGCGACGAUCCGUAGCUGGUCUGAGAGGAUGAUCAGCCACACUGGAACUGAGACACGGUCCAGACUCCUACGGGAGGCAGAAGUGGGGAAUAUUGGACAAUGGGCGCAAGCCUGAUCCAGCCAUACCGCGUGGGUGAAGAAGGCCUUCGGGUUGUAAAGCCCUUUUGUUGGGAAAGAAAAGCAGCAGGUUAAUACCCCGCUGUUCUGACGGUACCCAAAGAAUAAGCACCGGCUAACUUCGCG
RNAcentral lists this ribosomal RNA (492 nucleotides) under uncultured bacterium. RNAcentral describes it as "partial 16S ribosomal RNA". It matches the Rfam family "Bacterial small subunit ribosomal RNA", at positions 29 to 507 of the family's 1533-position model. The record is from RNAcentral.